Molecule: unclassified non-coding RNA, 4999 nt
Filed under: Hevea brasiliensis (rubber tree)
Lineage: Eukaryota; Viridiplantae; Streptophyta; Magnoliopsida; Malpighiales; Euphorbiaceae
Source: RNAcentral
ACAAGUUCCUAAGAUUCUUUAACUUAGCCAAGCUGGAAGGGACCUUGCCGGAGAGUUCAUUUCCAUUCAAGCCCAAGUACUCUAAACUCUGAAUCUCCGAGUAUGACUCCGGUAUCGAGCCUGAAAAGUAGUUCCCGCCAAGAUGAAGAUGCUUGAGAUUCUUCAGGUGCACGAGGUCCAGCGGCAAUGGACCGGAGAAAUUAUUGUUGUAAAUGUCAAGGAUCUCAAGCUGAGUCAUGCCGAGAGUGAUCUCUCCAGGGAAAUCGCCAACGAAGACAUUAUUGGAAAUGUUGAAAAUCCUAAGAGAAGUGAGCUCAGCCAUUUCCAAAGGGAGCCUUCCAGAGAGAUUGUGUGAAGAGAGAGUGAGGUUGACGAGCUUGUUCAAGAGCCCAAUUUCUGGAGGAAUGAAACCGGAGAGAAGGCAAUGAGAUGAGAGAUUGAGAGACACAACCCGUGAAUCCUCAUUGCAAGUAACUCCGGAGAAGGAGCAGUGAGCAGAGGAAGACGGCGAGAGCAUCCAGUCCUCCAAGCCAUGACCAUAUGGUCCGAGCAUGGAGGUUUUCAGCUUCAAUAGCAUUUCAAAAUCACUGUACCCAGAGCAAGCAGCUGCAAGCAGCAGAAGGAUGAGAAUAAAAGCUAGUGAAAAUCUCAUUUUCAUCCUUCUCUCAAUGGCUCUUUCUUCCUGUCUUUCAGAGGAUAUGAUAGAAAAAGAAGGUGGCGAUAUUUCUACGCUUGCUGUUCAAUAAGGGGAGUUGGAGGCUAGGUCAUCAAACACGAAUCCAAGACUCGCAAUAUCAUUCUUGAAAGAAUAAACAAAAAGUCAAGAAAGGAAAAAAGAAAGAAGGUGGGGAAGUGCAUGAGUUUUUGUAUCCCACACUGCACCUCAUGCACGAUCCAACACUAGCGUCUUUAGUUGUUCGAUCACUGAAAGACUAGGUUGUCAUCACUGACACCUAAGGGCACCGUGGACUUUGAUAUAUAUAAUGCAUUUUCUUCUGCUUUUUGAGUUGCUGAUCCUUAAUUAUAUGCUUGUGGGAAAGAAGACAUGCAUUUAUUCUAAUAAUAUUUUACUUAAUUGCUUGAAGAACUUGUUCCUAUUCUCCUAAUAUAUAUAUCAGUCUUAGUGGAGAAUUCUUAAUUUUUAGACUAAUCUAAAAGCCUGAGUAGGUGACUAGAGAAUAAAGAUACCUCUCUGCUUUUACAAACAAUAAACACCUAUUUUGGAUAAUUGUGGUUAUUCUAUUAUAUCCAGUGAAUGGAGGAGAAUCCCUUGGACUUUGAAAUCUACAAGUGCCAUGUAUAUAGGGCUCCAUGGGAGAAUAUCUAGGGGUCUAUGUUUAGUUCAAAAUGCCUGCUUUUACUCCAUUGACAUUCUACAGGAUCGAUUCGUGUAUGGCCUUUAAACUGAACAACCAAUCCAAACCUAAGGUUGGGUUCUUUAUUUUGAGUAUUAUAUAUACACACACACCACUUUUAACACUAUAUCACAACAAAAUGCUGUUUAUGGAAGAGAAAACCUCAUUAGGUCAAAGAUUCUAAGGUUAGUUCAUUGUCUCAUAGCAUGAUUCUAGUUUUAGGAUGAGCCAGCCAUUUUGCAACUGGAAUCGCCUUUUUUCUGAAAGGUGAAUUUUUAAUUUUAUGACUGAAAUCAAAUAAACAAAAAACUAUUCAUAUUUAACUGUUGGUGUGAAAAUAUAUGGGUUGUAUAUGAUAAGGUAACGGCCAAUGGGCUUUUUGGUUGGAUUGGGAACUAGGAGCGGUUGUGGAUGAUGGAAGCCCGGCUUUCAAGAGAAAUUAUUAGGUGCACCCAGUAUACAUAUAUUAUUUUUCAUAAUCAUGUCGGACUUACUCUCUAUAUUGUAGGAUGAACCAACUUUUAUGUAAAAAAGAAAAUACUAAUUUUUAAUGCUCCUAAUGCAUCUAAUAAUUAGCUGACUUGCAAUGUCAAACCAAACCAUUCCCCUUCAAUCAAAUGGUGUGCGCUAGUUGGGCCACAUGUCACAUCUAUAAUUGUAAACUGAGCCUUUCUGUGGCCUCACUUUUACUGGUCAAGGAUCCUCAAGCUUCAAGUCUUGUGGCCCAUUUCCAUUCGUUUUAAGCUGGUUUCAACUUUCGACUUGCACCAAUUGCUGGCCCAUGUCACCAUAUGUGAAAGAAAGGUCAUAGCUUGGCUAUAUUGUUGUUUAGCUGUGGGAACAGGGAAGCUCCAGCCUCCUGCAAGCUGUUGUGAGCCAGGAACCUUCAAAAUUUUAAAGGAGAACCUUUACAUCAGAAAUAAGAGUUGCUAUUUCACAUAGGGGCUGAGGGACGAAGCUUUUGAGAAAAUUUUCAUCAUCUCUUGCAGUUGCCAAAUCACCGUAUAGCCGAUGCUUCAGCCACUUCUGCUAAUGAAACCAUGAUCUUUUUCAAUAUCCCAUUUAUCAAUUUUGUAUUAUGGUCUAUCAUAGCAACUGCUUCUCUGGCCAUCUACUAGCAUUCACGAAGGAGGCAUCGCAAUUAAUCUUCUUUAUCCCUUGUGAAGAGGGGGAAGCCAGACUCUGGUUGAAGAAGGGAUUGUUUGGCAGGCCUAAAUCCUUUGUGGAUUGAGUAGUAAUGGGGCAAAUUAAUUGCUAAAACCGAGGAGACGAGACUUGCAACGUCUCUUAGUAUUUACAUUGAACUGGAACUAAAUGGAAAAGGUGGGAAAAUAUUUUCCAAUCUCAGAAGAGGUUAAUCCUAUCGAAAACAGAUGAGAAGUUUCUUUUGCGGAGAAAAUGCUACUGAAUUUUACUGAACCCUUGCAAAAGAUGUUAGCAAGCUUUAAUUUACAGGAUUCUAGUUAUUAGUGAAUCACAAAGUUGAUCCAGAAAACACAAUGCAGAAGACACAAUAGAAUGUUUUCCACUUGAAAUACAUACCAAAAUGGAACCUGUUUAAGAUGUUCUCCAUUGUAGCUCAAUUUGAAUCCGGCCGUUCCUUGAGUCGAUGAGAUGGUAUUUCUCAUUGGUUCUUUUGUUGUUAACGGCAUCAGCUAAGUUUAUAUCCACAUAACCCAAAUUUUCCUUGGGAUGGAGGAGACCCAUCCUUGAGGAGGCACUAAAAACUUCCACAUGAAGCCUAUCAUUUGUGGGUGGUUCCUCAAGCAUGAACUGAAAUUCCUCUUCCCAUCUUGGAUCUCUGUUUUUCUUCACAAGCUUCAUUCUUCUCUCCUCCCCCCUGAAAAGUAACAUAACGAUUUGAAUGGUGUUUUCCUUCAACAUCUUGAGCUUCGUGCACAAUAACCACAAAUAAACCACCACCAGCUGGUGUUCCUUCAGGAGCCUUUUCUACUGCAUUUGGAUCUGCAAUACCAUUAGGUGUAUUGUCUUCCUUGAAAGGUUUGUAUUCCAGUUCCACAACAAGUUGCCCGCGUGAUUUCUCGUUUUCAGCAUCAUUUGGGUCCAUAUUUUUUAGCAGAUUAAGUGUCAUAACUUUUGGCUCAUCAGGUGUUAGCUCUUUUAAUGGAACAACAUUCAUCCCCAUCUUGUCAUGUUUGCCAACCUACAUAAAAGGAACAGACAGCUUUUAGAAUCACAAGGAUUGGACAAUAGAAGGUAAACAAAAACAGUAUUUUACACCAGCAACUCUUCCAUACGAGAGUCCUUCAUGGCCUAUUGUAAACCAAACAUUUUGUGUUCUGAAUUGAUAAAAUAUAACUCAUUAAGCAUAGGCGAGGGCGAGUGAUGGUUUAAGGAAAUUGUGGUAAAUCAAACAAUAAGUUUCAAAAAAAUAUACCUGUUCCCAGUCAUAAACAAUAAUCUCUAAGGCUUGAUAUUCUGGGUCUUUGACAACAAUGUUAAAUUCCUCGUUCCAUUCAGGGUUCAAGUUUUUGUGCUUCACAGUUGUUUUCUUUGAAGGGAGCUUCUCUUCGGUGAGUUUUAAUUUCACAUAAGGGUCUGAUGCCCCAAGAAGAUCUUUUUUUUAAGCUUCAUUGCCCUCAAAACCUUCACAGUAAGAAUCCCAACAGGUCGCUUUGUAGCUCCGUCAAGUUUGGAACAAUUAGUCAGUUCCAGUGAAAGGAUUGGUGUCAUAACCUGAAACAAGGGAGAGAAAACACACUUUGCAGGAUCCAGGACUGGUACUUGUAGGGCUUUUGGCCAUAAAUACAUAUGUGCAACUUGAUCUUUAAUAAGCUCCUGGAGCAAGAAAAAAUGAUGAAAAAAUUUGAGGAAUCAAAAUGAGAAACUCUGUUACAGGGUGGAAGGUUUUACAGUAGCAUUUUCAAGAUGAAGCUCUAGAGUACAGAGAAACAUGGACGGGCUCAGGGAUAGAUAUGCCUGAAAAUGCAAUCAUUCCCAUUUUUUGCAGCGUAGCCAAAUAAAUAAGUUAUGAUCACCUGGACAAAUCUGUAUAGACCAGGAAUAGACAUGGCAUCUGCUCCAAGCAAUUUCAAUCCAAAUUCAACAUGGGGCUGCAGAAUCAAAGAGAGAUGAGAUGGUAUUUCACAAUAUAGAUACUAUAGAAAAUUUUAAAUCUAUGGAUGCUUCAUACAUUUAGAUGACCUAACACAUGAAAAUCAAGAGCCAAAAUAAUAUUACAAUACAAUUUUGAUGACCUAAAACAUGGUACAUGGAAAUUUAUUAGAUCAAAUCAUUCUCCAGGUAAAUUGCAUCUUUUGGGAAAAUGUAUACAUUAUCAGCAUCAAAUAGUAGUAGCAGCCCCAGCCUGCUUCAUAUUGAACUAUAAAAACCACAACCUCGGCAAAUUAAAAUCUGCCGCAUUACAAUAAAAAAGCUUUUCCAUUAGCACAUAACCUUUCCAUUAGAGAGACAAAAAUAUUGGCAAAACAAGGAAAGGCAGGAACCAAAGGCUUUAGGGUGAUGCGUGGAGCAGCAAAUACUUGCAAAUCAACCACCUGAAAUGAUUUGAAGAAGUUAAUACUCCUUGGAGAUGUUAACUACAUGACAAUUUAUCUCACAUCUUGCUUUCAUUAAACACUUCUCCAUGCAUGUGCACUUCUGUGUGUGUGUGUGUGUGUGUG